Molecule: ribosomal RNA, 550 nt
Filed under: uncultured kinetoplastid
Lineage: Eukaryota; Euglenozoa; Kinetoplastea
Description: bacterial SSU rRNA
Rfam family: Eukaryotic small subunit ribosomal RNA
Source: RNAcentral
GCUGUUAAGGGUUCGUAGUUGAAUUAGGGGUAGCGGAGUAAACUGCUGGCGUCUUGCCCUUCCAGGGAAGGCUAACCACAGUUCUCCCUACUCGAGAACAUUGGAAACAACCAUCGCGGGUCGUUACCACCUCAAAUACCGCAUACAACGUAUGUGUAAUGGUUGGCGCCCGUGGUUUUACUGUGACAAAAGAAGGGUGAUCAAGGCAGUCAUUCGACGUGGAUUAGAAAGCAUGGGUAACAAAGGAGCGGCCUACGAACUGCCGAUUCGGCUUUUGUUGGUUUUAAAGGUCUGUGGGGAUUGUGAACCCCCAAGACCGGCUGCGCGUGCUAUUACUGUGCGCGACGGCCUUCCGUCUCGUCCUUGCGGCGGGGCGGCUUGGUGGGUUCAGGAAUGAAGGAGGGUUGUUCGGGGGGAACGUACUUGAGCGUGAGAGGUGAAAUUCUUAGACCGCUCAAAGACGAACUACAGCGAGGCAUUCUCCAAGGAUACCUUCCUCAAUCAAGAACCAAAGUGUGGAGAUCGAAGAUGUUAGAUACCAUUGUAGUCC